AUACGGGGGGUGCGAGCGUUGUUCGGAAUUAUUGGGCGUAAAGCGCGUGUAGGCGGUCUUUUAAGUCUGAUGUGAAAGCCCCGGGCUCAACCUGGGAAGUGCAUUGGAAACUGGGAGACUUGAAUACGGGAGAGGGUGGUGGAAUUCCUAGUGUAGGAGUGAAAUCCGUAGAUAUUAGGAGGAACACCGGUGGCGAAGGCGGCUACCUGGACCGAUAUUGACGCUGAGACGCGAAAGCGUGGGGAGC
Molecule: ribosomal RNA, 247 nt
Filed under: uncultured bacterium
Lineage: Bacteria
Description: partial 16S ribosomal RNA
Rfam family: Bacterial small subunit ribosomal RNA
Source: RNAcentral